ACGACUCUCGGCAACGGAUAUCUCGGCUCUCGCAUCGAUGAAGAACGUAGCGAAAUGCGAUACUUGGUGUGAAUUGCAGAAUCCCGCGAACCAUCGAGUCUUUGAACGCAAGUUGCGCCCGAAGCCUUCCGGCCGAGGGCACGUCUGCCUGGGCGUCACGC
RNAcentral lists this ribosomal RNA (161 nucleotides) under Anacampseros sp. Hogan 3669. RNAcentral describes it as "5.8S ribosomal RNA". It matches the Rfam family "5.8S ribosomal RNA". Rfam says of the family: 5.8S ribosomal RNA (5.8S rRNA) is a component of the large subunit of the eukaryotic ribosome. It is transcribed by RNA polymerase I as part of the 45S precursor that also contains 18S and 28S rRNA. Lineage: Eukaryota; Viridiplantae; Streptophyta; Magnoliopsida; Caryophyllales; Anacampserotaceae. The record is from RNAcentral.